AUGGCCUCUCUUGCAAUGCUAACCUCAUGGGCCAUUUGGAGUGAGCGUAAUGCAAGGGUUUUCGGCCACAAGUCUGCCCCGACCUCAGUUUUGUUGUCCAAUAUCAAGAGGGAGAUGGCCCUUUGGAUUACCGCGGGGGCAAAGAAGUUGCGAUUAAUCAUGUCGGGAGAGUAA
Molecule: ribosomal RNA, 174 nt
Filed under: Triticum aestivum (bread wheat)
Lineage: Eukaryota; Viridiplantae; Streptophyta; Magnoliopsida; Poales; Poaceae
Description: partial small subunit ribosomal RNA
Source: RNAcentral